UUAAAUUGAAGAGUUUGAUCAUGGCUCAGAUUGAACGCUGGCGGCAGGCCUAACACAUGCAAGUCGAACGGUAGCAGGAAGAAG
This 84-nucleotide ribosomal RNA is filed under the name Escherichia coli. RNAcentral describes it as "partial 16S ribosomal RNA". It matches the Rfam family "Bacterial small subunit ribosomal RNA", at positions 1 to 82 of the family's 1533-position model. The record is from RNAcentral. Lineage: Bacteria; Pseudomonadati; Pseudomonadota; Gammaproteobacteria; Enterobacterales; Enterobacteriaceae.